GUCCCCGUAGAUUAGUGGUUAGAUCACCACGUUGUGGAUAAUCCGGCUCCGUGGCGACGCAAGUUCGAUUCCUGCCGGGGACA
Non-coding RNA from Artomyces pyxidatus, 83 nucleotides. Lineage: Eukaryota; Fungi; Basidiomycota; Agaricomycetes; Russulales; Auriscalpiaceae. The record is from the annotation of a GenBank genome assembly.